UACGUAGGGGGCAAGCGUUGUCCGGAAUCAUUGGGCGUAAAGCGCGUGUAGGCGGUCCGGUAAGUCCGCUGUGAAAGUCCAGGGCUCAACCCUGGAAUGCCGGUGGAUACUGUCGGGCUAGAGUCCGGAAGAGGCGAGUGGAAUUCCUGGUGUAGCGGUGAAAUGCGCAGAUAUCAGGAGGAACACCGAUGGCGAAGGCAGCUCGCUGGGACGGUACUGACGCUGAGACGCGAAAGCGUGGGGAGCAAACAGG
This 253-nucleotide ribosomal RNA is filed under the name uncultured bacterium. RNAcentral describes it as "partial 16S ribosomal RNA". It matches the Rfam family "Bacterial small subunit ribosomal RNA", at positions 524 to 776 of the family's 1533-position model. The record is from RNAcentral.